Molecule: transfer RNA, 72 nt
Filed under: Bos taurus (domestic cattle)
Lineage: Eukaryota; Metazoa; Chordata; Mammalia; Artiodactyla; Bovidae
Also listed under: 2 other names
Rfam family: tRNA
About the family: Transfer RNA (tRNA) molecules are approximately 80 nucleotides in length.
Source: Rfam by way of RNAcentral
UCCCUUGUGGCUCAGCUGGUAAAGAAUCCACCUUCAAGGUGGAAGUUCUGGGUUCUAUCCCUGGCUUGGGAA